This 451-nucleotide ribosomal RNA is filed under the name uncultured bacterium. RNAcentral describes it as "partial 16S ribosomal RNA". It matches the Rfam family "Bacterial small subunit ribosomal RNA", at positions 354 to 796 of the family's 1533-position model. The record is from RNAcentral.
GUGGGGAAUAUUGGACAAUGGGGGGAACCCUGAUCCAGCCAUGCCGCGUGUGUGAAGAAGGCCUUUUGGUUGUAAAGCACUUUAAGCGAGGAGGAGGCUACCGAGAUUAAUACUCUUGGAUAGUGGACGUUACUCGCAGAAUAAGCACCGGCUAACUCUGUGCCAGCAGCCGCGGUAAUACAGAGGGUGCAAGCGUUAAUCGGAUUUACUGGGCGUAAAGCGCGCGUAGGUGGCCAAUUAAGUCAAAUGUGAAAUCCCCGAGCUUAACUUGGGAAUUGCAUUCGAUACUGGUUGGCUAGAGUAUGGGAGAGGAUGGUAGAAUUCCAAGUGUAGCGGUGAAAUGCGUAGAGAUCUGGAGGAAUACCGAUGGCGAAGGCAGCCAUCUGGCCUAAUACUGACACUGAGGUGCGAAAGCAUGGGGAGCAAACAGGAUUAGAUACCCUAGUAGUCC